CUAUAUGGGGCCUGCCAGAGAUUAAACUCAACCAAAUUUUAUUUAAUGUCAACCGAUUAUUUAAUAGUCAAAACUUUCAACAACGGAUCUCUUGGUUCUCGCAUCGAUGAAGAACGCAGCGAAAUGCGAUAAGUAAUAUGAAUUGCAGAUAUUCGUGAAUCAUCGAAUCUUUGAACGCACAUUGCGCCCUUUGGUAUUCCAAAGGGCAUGCCUGUUUGAGCGUCAUUUCUCCCUCAAACCCUCGGGUUUGGUGUUGAGCGAUACGCUGGGUUUGCUUGAAAGAAAGGCGGAGUAUAAACUAAUGGAUAGGUUUUUUCCACUCAUUGGUACAAACUCCAAAACUUCUUCCAAAUUCGACCUCAAAUCAGGUAGGACUACCCGCUGAACUUAAGCA
RNAcentral lists this ribosomal RNA (394 nucleotides) under Lodderomyces parapsilosis. RNAcentral describes it as "eukaryotic LSU rRNA". The stretch from base 72 to 225 matches the Rfam family "5.8S ribosomal RNA". Lineage: Eukaryota; Fungi; Ascomycota; Pichiomycetes; Serinales; Debaryomycetaceae. The record is from RNAcentral.